UGCUUUAUGAAUUUAAUAUAAAGUAAUCUCCUGCCCAGUGAUUUAAUUUAACGGCCGCGGUAUCCUAACCGUGCAAAGGUAGCAUAAUAAUUUGCCCAUUAAUUGUGGGCUAGAAUGAAGGGGGUAACGAAAUAAGAUCUGUCUCAAUAAAACAUAUAAAAACUAAUAUUCAAGUGAAGAAGCUUAAAUAAAAUUAAAGGACAAGAAGACCCUAUAGAGCUUUAUCUUUCAAUGUUUAAACAAGAAAAAGAUUCGGUUGGGGCGACCAUGGAUAAAUCAUCCAUAACAUUUAAGACUAACUUGUCAAAUCAUAGAUCCUUUUAAGAUCAUAGAAUCAAGCUACCUUAGGGAUAACAGGCUAAUCCUAUUAAAGAGCUCUUAUCGACAAUAGGGAUUGGCACCUCGAUGUUGGCUUAGAAUAUCUUUAAGGCGCAGAAGUCAUAAAAAGAGGGUUUGUUCAACCCAUAACAUUC
RNAcentral lists this ribosomal RNA (473 nucleotides) under Mesenchytraeus straminicolus. RNAcentral's name for it is "partial 16S ribosomal RNA". It matches the Rfam family "Bacterial large subunit ribosomal RNA", at positions 1819 to 2596 of the family's 2925-position model. The record is from RNAcentral. Lineage: Eukaryota; Metazoa; Annelida; Clitellata; Enchytraeida; Enchytraeidae.